ACUUGAAAAGGUGCCAACCAAUUUUGUUGCUGGAGAUUGAAUUCUUCAAAUGACAGCAAAAUUAAUUGUAAUUUUUAUUCCUUUUGAUGUGCUCUGGAUAUAAUGAUUUAUUAUUGUUUAUACAAGUGAUUAACAUGCCUUUGUUGAAAUCAAUAUGCAGGUAAAAAAUAUCAGCAGCCAGCAGGAUAAUAUUAUUCCAUCAGUGGACAAAGCAUCUCUUUGCAAGUUUCUUUCUGUAAAACAAUAAAAUAUUAGAUUAUUAAUCACUAACAAAUCAGAAGGUUCCAUCCUCGAUUGGUCAUUCAUCUAUAGGUUAAAUUUAAUAGAGAGUCUUUUACAGGGAAUAUGGUGAAACUGAGGUAGGCUGAGAGCUAUUUCAUGGAAAUACCAAUUCUUUUGACAGACG
Molecule: unclassified non-coding RNA, 406 nt
Filed under: Hevea brasiliensis (rubber tree)
Lineage: Eukaryota; Viridiplantae; Streptophyta; Magnoliopsida; Malpighiales; Euphorbiaceae
Source: RNAcentral